RNA transcript from Prosopis cineraria, 3130 nucleotides. It is a transcript of the gene named polyadenylate-binding protein-interacting protein 12-like, with no coding region annotated. The transcript has 12 exons. The record is from RefSeq and is a predicted model, not a curated record. NCBI's taxonomy places the organism in Eukaryota, Viridiplantae, Streptophyta, Magnoliopsida, Fabales, Fabaceae.
UUACUACGUGCAUCAUCAUCAGCUCGGGACGUUCUCAGGAAGGUCCAAAAAGGCACUGCUGCCAAAACGGACGAUCCGAAGAGGGCCCUUUUCCGUUUAUCUCUCUCUCCAGGCCUCUUUCUGGUUUAUACCAUAAUCUUUAUCUUCUUCAGUAAAAUUAGUGAGACAAAGCUUGCUCUCUAAUAUUCACCGGUGUCUUCAUAAUUUCUGCAACUAUUUAUCCAUAAUAAUCGUUUCUUUCUGCGCUCUUAAACUACUGGAACAAGACGAUCUUCGAGAUCGGUUUGAUCUUGUGUUAAUGGGAUUUUGUCAUACAAAGCCAGAGGAUUUUUAAGAAACCAAAAAGAUCAGCUCUUUUCCGUUUGGUAGUUAUUAUGGCGGUGGCUGAGAAUGCCGGAGCCAUAAUCGGCUCAUCCAGUCAGAAUUUAGAUAACAGUGUAGUAUCAUCGGACUCAACUGUGACAAAUGAGCUGCAGAAACCGAAACCCAGGACUGGGGCUAUUGUAAAUGGUUUAGAAACAGAUGUUCAACCUGUUAACGGCGAUCAGAACCUGAAUGAUGUGUUCGGCCAUCAGGAUAGAGCUCCGUCGGGCCCUAACGGCAACUACAGGUCUCAAAUCACUCAGAUGCGAAAUGGGUUCGAGGCAAAUGGGGUUCAGAACCAGCAGAUGGUGCUAAAUAAUAGCGGAUACGGAAUACAGCAAAUGUCUAACGGCGUAAGGAACGGUGAAGAUGGUGGUGAGAGUUUCAAGCGUGAUAUGAGGGAUUUGGAAGAGUUGUUGUCGAAGUUGAAUCCCAUGGCCGAGGAAUUCGUACCACCAUCGCUCACCAAUAAUCACGGAUUCUUAGGUGGAGCUGGGUUUAGCUACCCUAACAACUUUCUAGCCCUCACUAACUAUGGCAAUGCUAAUGGACAUGCUAACAGAAGGAGGAAGAAUGGAUAUAAUCAAGGGAAGCGAAGAGCUAAUAAUAAAAUGGAUGUGGAGAAGAGAGAAGAGAUGAUUAAGAAGACUGUUUACGUGUCUGACAUUGAUCAACAGGUCACUGAAGAGCAGCUGGCAGCUCUCUUUCUUAACUGUGGACAGGUUGUUGAUUGCCGAGUAUGCGGAGAUCCUAAUUCUGUACUUCGUUUUGCCUUCAUUGAGUUUACAGAUGAAGAAGGUGCGAGGGCUGCUCUUAACCUGUCUGGCACUAUGCUUGGAUAUUACCCAGUGAGAGUGCUGCCUUCAAAAACUGCCAUCGCACCAGUUAACCCCUCAUUUUUGCCCCGGUCUGAAGAUGAAAGGGAGAUGUGCUCAAGAACAAUUUAUUGCACAAAUAUUGACAAGAAGGUUACCCAGGCAGAUGUUAAACUCUUCUUUGAAUGUCUUUGUGGAGAGGUUCAGCGCUUGAGGCUUCUUGGAGAUUACCAUCACUCAACUCGAAUUGCAUUUGUUGAGUUCACCAUGGUAACUGCCCACUUUUUUGGACCAUUUCACCUGAAUCAGCUUGGUGUACUAUGAUAUGUAUACCCGUCUACCACAUUGUUAUUUUGAUGCUACCACAGGCUUUCAAUUUCUUACUGUGGUUGCUCGUAUGAUUGAUGUCAUUUCCAUCCUCCCCGUGGCAGGCAACAAUACUUACCUUUUUAAAGAAGAAGAAUCAACAAGAAAAACAGAUAAAACGUGAUAGUGUAUUAUUUGGAUUAUAGGGCCUUGUUAUAGUUUUGUAAUUAUGACAAUAAUUCUGUUAGUCAGUUGCGUUUUAGAUUUAAAUAUUUGGAUCUAGCCGUUGGGGGAGUGUGAGUGUAGUAAUAUAUAAAUACCCAGACUUGUAAUCUUCUUUUUAAUGAUCAGAACAGUAUUAUUCAGAAUCUGUGUUCAUCAAUUCCUCUGUUUUCUCUCUAAUUCCCUCAGUUCCUCUCUGCCUCUGAUUUCUCCUGUCUCUUUUCUCAACUUCUCUAGUCUUCCUGUUCUUCUCUCCAACCUUUCCAAUCCCUCUCUGUUUUAUGUAUCAUACAGAAUUAUUCAAGCACAUCAGACCUCUUCUGCCAUGGCUCUAUAUAUGCAUACGUAGUUCAGUAGUAUCACAAAUGUUGAUACUUUAUUUUUGACAACCGUUGUAGAUGUUUGAUAAUUUUUGCAUAAGGGGUGUCAUAGCCCAAUGUAGUCAUGUUUAAUUGGUUCUAAAUUAUACUUAUUGUGAAGCUUUAUGGACAGGGAAUAUUGUUUGUUAGUCGCAGUGGAACUAAUAUGUAAACAUAUGGUGGUAACAAUUAUCUCUAUUUUCAAUUAGUUUCUCAUCUGGUUUAUUGUAUGGUAACGUGGAUCUAAUUUUAGCUGGCCUCUCCUUUGAAAAUAAUCAAGUCCACGAGUUAUAGAAGACAUAACUAGUGCAGUAAGGUUGCCUGUAACUAGGGCAACUUAAGGGAGGAAGGAAAGGAUGAAUGUCACAUUAAUAUUCUGCGGUUGCCAGGAAAAUCUUAUCCUUUUGCAAUAUUUUGAGGUUGAAGUUUACUUUGGGUCAUGGAAGGAAAUAGUGGUUCUUAGGUUCCAUUGGUGAGGAACAUUUUGGUGUAAAGGAAUCGGAUGGUGAUGAUUCUUGGUUCAGCUGCAUAGGCUGAAAGUGCAAUUGCAGCUCUGAACUGUAGUGGUGUGAUUUUGGGUUCGCUGCCUAUCAGGGUAAGUCCGUCAAAGACACCUGUCCGGUCUCGUGCACCACGUGGGCCGAUGCACUGAGUCUUGCUUCCAUGUUUCUUGCGUUGGUUGCAUUUUGGAGAUAUGUUUACUUACAUACAUAGAUAGAAACAGAUAUUGUCUAAGGUAUCUGUGGCCGUUAGUCUAUACUUUUGUCCUUGAGUCUUGGUGUAUGGUCUCCGUUUCCCCCAAGGGUUAUGGAUUUCUUGUUUAGCUUGUAGAGUUGAAUCUGGGAUGGCACUUCGAGGAUCUUUGAUGGCUUAACUUAUGAUGCUAAAUUUGAUGGAUUCGUCUUGUGACGAGAGGAUUCCAUGGUUGGAUUUCUCUUAAUAUCUGGAAUUUCCUAGGAGAGAACAUGUUAGAAAGUCUUCAUUGUUUCUCAUGUUAUUAGCUGUUCUGGAAUCUUUGAACCCUGAAAUCUCACUAAUACCAUUGCAAGACAAACUGCUUGAUGA